This is a long non-coding RNA of Salarias fasciatus (jewelled blenny), 3796 nucleotides long. The record is from Ensembl. NCBI's taxonomy places the organism in Eukaryota, Metazoa, Chordata, Actinopteri, Blenniiformes, Blenniidae.
UGUUGAAUCUGCAGUGUCACUUACUGCUCUUCUUUUUUCAGCGAGGAAGAGAAGCUGAAACAGCAACAUCCUUUCAGAAUAAAUGCCUUCAACCUCAUUUGUAAGAUGCUGGAGUGGUGUAGGACAAGGGAAACAAAACUCUUGAUGGAUGAGAUGUUUCACAGCAUCUUCUUUCUGGCGAAAAUCAACAUACCCCCCUUUUCUCCAGAAGAAAUUAUCCCAGAUAAAGAGAUGCUGCAGGCCUUGUUGGAAUCAUAUCCCAAGCCUGUGAAGCAUCUGUCCCAGCUCCCCAGGAGGAGUCCAUUCUCCUGUGUGCUGGAUAUGGUUGUGCUCGUCACUGGACAACAGAAUGAGGACCAAAUAAAGAACCAGCUGCAACAGUUUGUUCAGCAGCUCGGCGGUGAUACAUCAAAAGCUUUCUUGUCCACCACCAUGUGCGUCUCUCAGAUCAAGGGUAAAGAUUCAGUCCGGCACUACGGAGUCUCCAUGUCCACCUCUGGUCCGGUUGCUGGGAGAAUCAUGGUUGCUACCUCCUGCUUACAGACCUGGCAUAAGGACGUAGCUGGGGCAGUGCUGUCCUAUGAUCAACGCUCCAAGGAAAUGCCUCUAAGGUCAUAUUUUAAUGGAACCAUCAGACUUCCCCAGAAUAUCAGGUGUGAAGCGUACAACAUUCGUGAUAAAAAACCAAAACCCCCGUGCAAAUCGUGUGGAAAUUUGUUUGGUUUUACCAACUCUGAAGGAAAGCAAUGGCCCUAUGGAAACUGUGCUGAAGUUGAGAGUUUGAGUAAACUGCUCACAACUGAGGCAGUGCAGGUGCAGUUCCAAAAAGAUAAUCCAGGAGAUAGAGAGAAGGCUGUAGAAGAAGUUCGUACAGAACUUAAGAAUUUGUUGAGCAUGAUACACCAUAAGUGGGACGGUAAGUUUUAUGUCCCACAAAGUAUUUAGCCCAUUGGAGAAAACUAUAUCAAAACCAACGGAUAUCCCAUUGCCUUGCUACUUCUGGGGCUCAGUUUCUUCUCCCAAGUCUUCAGGGUGGUGAGCUGUAUUGAUAUCCUCUCUUUAAACCUCUGUGAGUUUCGCUGUGUGGGGAGUUACUAUUGAUCUGAUGGGUGAUGUAUCAGCAGAGGUUAUUGAAUUUAAAUAUGUACACAAGCUUAUAAAGUACACUUCUGAAAGAAAAUGAAACACUGGAACUCAAUUGAAAUUAAAAAAAAAGUUUAAAGAACUUAUCAAGUCCACUCUUUAGGAGUCAAAGUAAAUUAUAUUCGUACAUCGCAAUUCUACUUCAGCAUUAUAUCAACAAGAUAUCUGCUUAUCGGCAAUCAACACAGACAGGACACCGUUUGUCCAUUCCCAUAUACCAUAGUUAUAAUUUUAAUUCAUUCCAUUUUUACCAGUUUCUGAUCUACAUUAUAAGAAAAUAUAGAAACUUAGGUCUUGGCAUAUAGGGUUUGCUGUUCAGUGUAUUUGUGUAGCAAUUGUGUUUUUAUUUUCUUUUUAAAACAUCUGGACUGUUUGAUUCUUGUAUGUUCCUAUCCUUUCUCGUGUUGAAUUCAUGAGUUGAAGAGGUCCCUGGAAUGAGGUGACAGAGUCGUCGAUUUAGUUUAUCUUACAUUAUACAAGCAUUUUGGGAACUGUUGCACUCAGUGAGCUUCAGAAUCUUAAAUCUAUGAGAAAGGGGAUCAGAGGGAGCAUUCAAACCUGCCCAUGAUAUCACACGUAUGACUGUCUUCUGUAAAGUUUGUAAUUUCUCCAAAUAACUGCAAUACGUGUUGCACCAUAUGAUGUUACAGUAAUUUAAAUGUGGCUCAAAUAAUGGUCGAUAUAGACGAAGAAGCGACUAACUGAGUGCAUUUCCUCCGAUACCAUCAUGUUGCAAUUUUCAAAUUAGAAUUUCAAGGUCUGUUGUAUGAAAAGCUUUUGAAAAGUCAAGGAACACUCCCAUUCCAGACUCACCUUUAUUUAUAGUAUCAUUAAUUUUUUCAAUGAGGUCAAGAAUUGGUGGUGCUCUUCUUUCUAAAAUCGUCUUGCAAGAGGAUGAGUAUAUUAAGUUUAUCCAAAUAAUCACUUAGUUUAUUGUACACAGUUCUCUCAAGUACCUUUGAAAAGGUUGGUAGGAUCGAUAUACUGUAGGUCGAUAAUUCUGUAGGUCUUUUUUAUCACCAAAUUUAAAUACUGGUAUAAAUUUAGAAAUCGUCAUCAAUGUAGGAGAGGUUUAUACAACAAGCAGGCAGCUCAACAAUUUCAUUAAUAAUACAUUCGAUAAUUUUACUAUAUAUUGCAGUGUGAGAGCUUUCUAUUUUCAUGAUGAUCUUGAUGAUUUCUAAUUUAUUUGUAGGUUUUAGAAAGAUCUUAUAUUUAAAUAAGAUAAGAUAAGAUAUUUAAAUAAGAUAAGAUAAGAUAUUUAAAUAAUCAGCCAUUCAAUACGACAUGGCUCCCCCAGGUGGAUUCACAUUUUGGAGAGAGUGUCACCUAUGGAGUUGAAGUAAUUUUUGGAAAGAUUUGCAAGAUGACGAUCAUUGAGGACAGUUUUGUUGACUUUUAGUGUCAGGAAGGACAGAUGUUAUUUUGACCCCAGUCAAGCACAUUGUUCAUCACUGUCCAGCAUUGCGUCUGAUCACCAUGAGAAGCCUUAAUAAGUUCAGUAUAACGAUUUCGCUUACUUUCUUGUAUUACAUUUGUCAGUUUGCUCUGCUAUUUAGUGUGUCUUUAUUUUUGUCAGUUGGACUGUUGGCAUAAUGUUUGUAUAGGUUGUUUUUCUUAUUGAUUGAUUUCAAGAUAUCUUUCUUAGGCCAUUUAUUUUGCUCCCCACCAUGUCUUUUGAUUGUCUUUUCUGAUAUAAUGCUUAUGCCAUCAGCUAUUCUUUGAUAAAAAAACAUUAUAUACUUCAUCUGGUGUUUUACAUCUGUACACACUAUGUUUUGUACUCAGGCUUUCCAGAUAAUUUGUUUAGGUUUUUGCUUGUCAGUACUUUCAUUUUCUGUUUGGAUAGUAGUUUAUUGAGUUUUUCCUUUCCUGUAAUAAGAUUUACAAAAAGUUCAGUUGAAUUGAUCCAAAACAUCAGCUACUAUGACACCAGAAUAAAAGAGAGUAUUUCCAAUAUUUGUUAUGAUUUUAUCAAUUAAGGUUUUAGUAUUUUUGGUUUCUCAAGUGCACACAUUUACUGUGGGGGAAAAAAGGAUGAAGAAUAGAGGGAACUUAGAAAGUUAUCUUUUAUGCUUUUGUCAUUGGCGGAAUUAAUGUUAAAGUCACCAAGAGUAAACAUUUUUUUGUUUGUAUUAUGUAUGCAGUUUAGUCAUAUUUCUAAUUUGGUCAAAAAAUUGUUCAAAUGGGAAUCUGGGGGUCAGUAAAUUACUCCUACAAGACAAGGCCAGUAAAUUACUCCUACAAAUACAUACAUUAUUCCUACAAGUAUAGUUUUGUUGUGAUAUCAUUUGUUCUUGAUCUCUCUCUGUUAUUGUGCUGUAAUUUUUUUUUAAUCUAAAGAGUUCAUUGCUUUUUCUUUUUCAUAAAUAGUUUGAGUGACAGUUAUUACAUUCAGUCUUACUCGGGGUUUAGUUAAUGAAGUUAGAUUCAUUCAAAAAUUAAUCAGCCUCCAUUGUUUUGUUCAUGGAUGGACAAAGUUGUUUAUAAGUACCAUAUCGGUGAUGAAAUGAGUCAGAGUGUGAAACCAUGAAAAGAUGAAAAAGCUGCUUGACAAAGAAGGAAUUUUUCCUCUAAAAUUCAAUAAACUGUUUUUUCUCUGAACUGGAAGUUUGCCUUUAUUUCAAAUUAAGAUUAUUUUGUUCAUUUUCCA